Octodon degus (degu) is the source of this 107-nucleotide small nuclear RNA. The record is from Ensembl. Lineage: Eukaryota; Metazoa; Chordata; Mammalia; Rodentia; Octodontidae.
GUGCUCGCUUUGGCUGCACAUAUGCUAAAACUGGAACAAUACGGAGAAGAUUAGCAUGGCCCCUGCACAAGGAUGACACGCAUAUUGUUGUCUUCAUAGUAGUUGUU